AUACUUAACUGACAAGGAAGAUACAAUAAUUGAGAAGGUGGUCUUCCCAGGGCUAGACUCACCCACCCAUUGCCCUCCAGAUGUGCUGACUUCUGUGAUUUCUCCAUGUGGGAAACUUGACUGCAUAAUUUGUGGUAGUGGGGGGACUGGGUUGGCACUACUCCCAG
Small nuclear RNA from Arvicanthis niloticus (Nile rat), 167 nucleotides. RefSeq annotates it as U1 spliceosomal RNA. NCBI's taxonomy places the organism in Eukaryota, Metazoa, Chordata, Mammalia, Rodentia, Muridae. The record is from RefSeq and is a predicted model, not a curated record.